GCCCGCUUAGUACAAUGGUAGUACACUGCCAGGGUGUGGCAGAGAUGGCGGUUCGAUUCCUUCAGCGGGCG
Molecule: transfer RNA, 71 nt
Filed under: Umbilicaria muhlenbergii
Lineage: Eukaryota; Fungi; Ascomycota; Lecanoromycetes; Umbilicariales; Umbilicariaceae
Description: tRNA-Thr (GGT) (tRNA-Thr-GGT-1-1)
Rfam family: tRNA
About the family: Transfer RNA (tRNA) molecules are approximately 80 nucleotides in length. Their secondary structure includes four short double-helical elements and three loops (D, anti-codon, and T loops).
Source: RNAcentral